CCUUCGGGUGGCUGCAGUGAGGAAUAUUGGUCAAUGGGCGCGAGCCUGAACCAGCCAAGUCGCGUGAGGGAAGACGGUCCUAUGGAUUGUAAACUUCUUUUGUCGGGGAGCAAAAGACGCCACGCGUGGCGUUCUGAGAGUACCCGAAGAAAAAGCAUCGGCUAACUCCGUGCCAGCAGCCGCGGUAAUACGGGGGAUGCGAGCGUUAUCCGGAUUUAUUGGGGUUAAAGGGUGGGCAGGCGGAAGGUCAAGUCAGCGGUAAAAUUGAGCGGCUCAACCUCUGCGAGCCGUUGAAACUGGUUAUCUUGAGUGAGUGAGAAGUAUGCGGAAUUCGUGGUGUAGCGGUGAAAUGCAUAGAUAUCACGAAGAACACCAGUUGCGAAGGCAGCAUACCGGCGCUCAACUGACGCUCAGGCGCGAAAGUGUGGGUAGCGAACAGGAUUAGAUACCCCAGUAGUC
This 459-nucleotide ribosomal RNA is filed under the name uncultured bacterium. Its description in RNAcentral is "partial 16S ribosomal RNA". It matches the Rfam family "Bacterial small subunit ribosomal RNA", at positions 338 to 795 of the family's 1533-position model. The record is from RNAcentral.